Molecule: ribosomal RNA, 277 nt
Filed under: uncultured bacterium
Lineage: Bacteria
Description: partial 16S ribosomal RNA
Rfam family: Bacterial small subunit ribosomal RNA
Source: RNAcentral
CUGGCGGCAGGCUUAACACAUGCAAGUCGAACGGUUGUAGCAAUACAGCAGUGGCAGACGGGUGAGUAACACGUGGGAACCUUCCUAGGGGUACGGAACAACUCAGGGAAACUUGAGCUAAUACCGUAUACGUCCGUGAGGAGAAAGAUUUAUCGCCCUUAGACGGGCCCGCGUCGGAUUAGCUAGUUGGUGGGGUAACGGCCUACCAAGGCGACGAUCCGUAGCUGAUCUUAGAGGAUGAUCAGCCACACUGGGACUGAGACACGGCCCAGACUCC